Molecule: ribosomal RNA, 260 nt
Filed under: Frigoribacterium sp. ISO307_OTU7565
Lineage: Bacteria; Bacillati; Actinomycetota; Actinomycetes; Micrococcales; Microbacteriaceae
Description: partial 16S ribosomal RNA
Rfam family: Bacterial small subunit ribosomal RNA
Source: RNAcentral
AUGAACGCUGGCGGCGUGCUUAACACAUGCAAGUCGAACGAUGAAAAGAAGCUUGCUUCUUGGAUUAGUGGCGAACGGGUGAGUAACACGUGAGUAACCUGCCCUUGACUCUGGGAUAAGCACUGGAAACGGUGUCUAAUACCGGAUACGAACUUCAGUCGCAUGGCUAGGAGUUGGAAAGAAUUUCGGUCAAGGAUGGACUCGCGGCCUAUCAGCUAGUUGGUGAGGUAAUGGCUCACCAAGGCGACGACGGGUAGCCG